RNAcentral lists this ribosomal RNA (396 nucleotides) under uncultured bacterium. Its description in RNAcentral is "bacterial SSU rRNA". It matches the Rfam family "Bacterial small subunit ribosomal RNA", at positions 29 to 449 of the family's 1533-position model. The record is from RNAcentral.
AACGAACGCUGGCGGCAGGCUUAACACAUGCAAGUCGAACGGAUGUAGCAAUACAUUAGUGGCGCACGGGUGAGUAACGCGUGGGAACGUACCCUUAGAUACGGGACAACCUCGGGAAACUGAGGCUAAUACCGUAUAAUGUCUUCGGACCAAAGAUUUAUCGUCUAAGGAUCGGCCCGCGUUGGAUUAGGUAGUUGGUGAGGUAAAGGCUCACCAAGCCGACGAUCUAUAGCUGGUCUGAGAGGAUGAUCAGCCACACUGGGACUGAGACACGGCCCAGACUCCUACGGGAGGCAGCAGUGAGGAAUAUUGGACAAUGGAGGAAACUCUGAUCCAGCCAUGCCGCGUGAGUGAAGAAGGCCUUCGGUUGUAAAGACUCUUUUGUCCCUUGACGAU